Molecule: ribosomal RNA, 524 nt
Filed under: uncultured bacterium
Lineage: Bacteria
Description: partial 16S ribosomal RNA
Rfam family: Bacterial small subunit ribosomal RNA
Source: RNAcentral
GACGAACGCUGGCGGCGUGCCUAAUACAUGCAAGUCGAACGAAGCUGUUUUAACUGGUGCUUGCACCGACUUAAACAACUGAGUGGCGAACGGGUGAGUAACACGUGGGUAACCUGCCCCAAGGCGGGGGAUAACAUUUGGAAACAGAUGCUAAUACCGCAUAACCACAGAAACCACAUGGUUUCUGUGUCAAAGAUGGUUUCGGCUCUCACUUUGGGAGGGACACGCGGCGUAUUAGCUAGUUGGUAAGGUAAUGGCUUACCAAGGCAAUGAUACGUAGCCGAACUGAGAGGUUGAUCGGCCACAUUGGGACUGAGACACGGCCCAAACUCCUACGGGAGGCAGCAGUAGGGAAUCUUCCACAAUGGACGAAAGUCUGAUGGAGCAACGCCGCGUGAGUGAAGAAGGUUUUCGGAUCGUAAAACUCUGUUGUCAGAGAAGAACGUGUGCGAGAGUAACUGCUCGUGCAGUGACGGUAUCUGGCCAGAAAGCCACGGCUAACUACGUGCCAGCCGCCGCAGUAA